RNAcentral lists this ribosomal RNA (495 nucleotides) under uncultured Glomeromycotina. Its description in RNAcentral is "partial small subunit ribosomal RNA". It matches the Rfam family "Eukaryotic small subunit ribosomal RNA", at positions 591 to 1092 of the family's 1831-position model. The record is from RNAcentral. Lineage: Eukaryota; Fungi; Glomeromycota.
CCAAUAGCGUAUAUUAAAGUUGUUGCAGUUAAAAAGCUCGUAGUUGAAUUUCGGGGUUCUACCGUUGGUCGGGCUUUGUCUGUACUGGCGUGUAGAAUUUCUACCUUCUGGGGAACUAUCAUGUUAUUAAUUUGACGUGGUGGGAAACCAGGACCUUUACCUUGAAAAAAUUAGAGUGUUCAAAGCAGGCUUAUGUCUGAAUACAUUAGCAUGGAAUAAUAGAAUAGGACGGUGGUCCUGUUUUGUUGGUUUCUGAAUCACCGUAAUGAUUAAUAGGGAUAGUUGGGGGCAUUAGUAUUCAAUUGUCAGAGGUGAAAUUCUUGGAUUUAUUGAAGACUAACUUCUGCGAAAGCAUUUGCCAAGGAUGUUUUCACUAAUCAAGAACGAAAGUUAGGGGAUCGAAGACGAUCAGAUACCGUCGUAGUCUUAACCAUAAACUAUGCCGACUAGGGAUCGGACGAUGUUAACUUUUCUUGACUCGUUCGGCGCCUUACG